UGGGGAAUAUUGGACAAUGGAGGAAACUCUGAUCCAGCAAUUCUGUGUGUGUGAAGAAGGUUUUAGGACUGUAAAACACUUUUAGUAGGGAAGAAAAAAAUGACGGUACCUACAGAAGAAGCAACGGCUAAAUACGUGCCAGCAGCCGCGGUAAUACGUAUGAUGCGAGCGUUAUCCGGAAUUAUUGGGCUUAAAGGGCAUCUAGGCGGUAAGACAAGUUGAAGGUGAAAACCUGUGGCUCAACCAUAGGCUUGCCUACAAAACUGUUGAACUAGAGUACUGGAAAGGUGGGUGGAACUACACGAGUAGAGGUGAAAUUCGUAGAUAUGUGUAGGAAUGCCGAUGAUGAAGAUAACUCACUGGACAGAAACUGACGCUGAAGUGCGAAAGCUAGGGGAGCAAACAGG
Molecule: ribosomal RNA, 407 nt
Filed under: Verrucomicrobiota bacterium
Lineage: Bacteria; Pseudomonadati; Verrucomicrobiota
Description: Verrucomicrobia bacterium partial 16S ribosomal RNA
Rfam family: Bacterial small subunit ribosomal RNA
Source: RNAcentral